CGGCAACAGCUCAAAUUUGAAAUCUGGCCCCCGGGUCCGAGUUGUAAUUUGUAGAGGAUGCUUUUGGCGCGGUGCCUUCCGAGUGCCCUGGAACGGGACGCCAUAGAGGGUGAGAGCCCCGUCUGGUCGGACACCAAGCCUCUGUAAAGCUCCUUCGACGAGUCGAGUAGUUUGGGAAUGCUGCUCUAAAUGGGAGGUAUAUGUCUUCUAAAGCUAAAUACCGGCCAGAGACCGAUAGCGCACAAGUAGAGUGAUCGAAAGAUGAAAAGCACUUUGAAAAGAGGGUUAAAUAGUACGUGAAAUUGUUGAAAGGGAAGCGCUUGUGACCAGACUUGAGCCCGGUGAAUCAUCCAGCCUUCUGGCUGGUGCACUUGGCCGGCUCAGGCCAGCAUCAGUUCGGCGCGGGGGAUAAAGGCGGCGGGAAUGUGGCUCCCCCGGGAGUGUUAUAGCCCGCCGUGCAAUACCCUGCGCUGGACUGAGGUUCGCGCAUCUGCAAGGAUGCUGGCGUAAUGGUCAUCAGCGACCCGUCUUGAAACACGGACCAAGGAGUCGUCUUCGUAUGCGAGUGUUCGGGUGUCAAACCCCUACGCGGAAUGAAAGUGAACGCAGGUGAGAGCUUCGGCGCAUCAUCGACCGAUCCUGAUGUUCUCGGAUGGAUUUGAGUAAGAGCAUACGGGGCCGGACCCGAAAGAAGGUGAACUAUGCCUGUAUAGGGUGAAGCCAGAGGAAACUCUGGUGGAGGCUCGCAGCGGUUCUGACGUGCAAAUCGAUCGUCAAAUAUGGGCAUGGGGGCGAA
This 796-nucleotide ribosomal RNA is filed under the name Pseudocosmospora sp. RNAcentral describes it as "partial large subunit ribosomal RNA". It matches the Rfam family "Eukaryotic large subunit ribosomal RNA", at positions 99 to 927 of the family's 3401-position model. Lineage: Eukaryota; Fungi; Ascomycota; Sordariomycetes; Hypocreales; Nectriaceae. The record is from RNAcentral.